AACAGAACGUCACAGAGGGUGAGAAUCCCGUGCGAUGAGAUGUCCCAGACCUAUGUAAAGUUCCUUCGAAGAGUCGAGUUGUUUGGGAAUGCAGCUCUAAGUGGGUGGUAAAUUCCAUCUAAAGCUAAAUAUUGGCGAGAGACCGAUAGCGAACAAGUACAGUGAUGGAAAGAUGAAAAGAACUUUGAAAAGAGAGUGAAAAAGUACGUGAAAUUGUUGAAAGGGAAGGGCUUGAGAUCAGACUUGGUAUUUUGUAUGUUACUCUCUCGGGGGUGGCCUCUACAGUUUACCGGGCCAGCAUCAGUUUGAGCGGUAGGAUAAGUGCAAAGAAAUGUGGCACUGCUUCGGUAGUGUGUUAUAGUCUUUGUCGAUACUGCCAGCUUAGACUGAGGACUGCGGCUUCGGCCUAGGAUGUUGGCAUAAUGAUCUUAAGUCGCCC
RNAcentral lists this ribosomal RNA (439 nucleotides) under Lodderomyces parapsilosis. RNAcentral describes it as "eukaryotic LSU rRNA". It matches the Rfam family "Eukaryotic large subunit ribosomal RNA", at positions 194 to 650 of the family's 3401-position model. Lineage: Eukaryota; Fungi; Ascomycota; Pichiomycetes; Serinales; Debaryomycetaceae. The record is from RNAcentral.